CGCGUCCCGCUCUCGGGGGCAGCCGCCGGGCCUGCAUUUCUUGCAGCCCUCAAGGCCCCUCGGUGUCAGCGAAAGAGCCCUCAUGUUGUACCUCGGCGCCCCGCGGGAAUGCCCACCCAGCAGAGCCGGCCCACGGGGAGUCAGGCUGCCGGCCCGGGCCCCUAGGCUCCGCCCGCUUCUGGUCAGCGCCCCUCGCCCCCGGCCCGCCUGGCCGCGUCCCAGUCGCCAGGGUUUUCGGCCCGUGGGCCGGGAGAGCUCCCGCCGCGGCCCCGCGGGCGCCGGCCCCCUGGCCUCCACACCCCUAGGUUUCCUGUUGGCGGGGAAAUAAGAGGAAAAAUGGGAAAGGAAAUUCACGAAGUCGAAGUUGUGUGGUUAGAAAGUCCAGCUUUAUGACUCAAGCCUGUCGUGGAAGGGAUGAGAGCAGGACCUGUACCUAGACUUUUUACUUAAUAUUUUGGCACUGCCCUUGUGGUAGGGAAUUUGCAGCGCUCUAGUUGUUAAACUGGAAGGACAUUCAUUCUGCAACUUGUACCUCUUGCUUGAUCUGGGCCCAGAGAUAACUUACAUGUAUCUUCUUUAAACUUAUUUUUCCAAAUUAUUGUGGUUACUUUGAACACAAUUUGUUUCCAGAAAUUUUAGCAAUCUAAUAUAACUCAACCCUAGGCUUUAAAAAGUCUGUUUUUUAUUGUAUCAUUCAAAUCAUUUACAGAAGAGGAACUAUUGUCUAGACAGCUCCUCACCCACCCAAAGUUAGCUGACAAUUCAAUUUUAAGUAAGUGAUUUGUGGUCAAU
This 792-nucleotide long non-coding RNA is filed under the name Homo sapiens (human). RNAcentral describes it as "HSALNT0012572". Lineage: Eukaryota; Metazoa; Chordata; Mammalia; Primates; Hominidae. The record is from RNAcentral.